Molecule: small nuclear RNA, 176 nt
Filed under: Zalophus californianus (California sea lion)
Lineage: Eukaryota; Metazoa; Chordata; Mammalia; Carnivora; Otariidae
Description: U2 spliceosomal RNA (ENSZCAG00015013518.1)
Rfam family: U2 spliceosomal RNA (bases 1-148)
About the family: U2 is a small nuclear RNA (snRNA) component of the spliceosome (involved in pre-mRNA splicing).
Source: RNAcentral
AUCACUUCUCAGCCUUUUGGCUAAGAUCAAGUGUAGUAUCUGUUCUUAUUAGUUUAAUAAAGCCGACUGGAGAAUUUCAGGUAAUCACACUUUUUUUAUCUUAUUCAUAAGGAUUAAGAGUUAGCACUAGUUUCUUAGUAAAGGGUAACCAGAAGCACCAUCAAGAUCCACUGAAA